This is a long non-coding RNA of Paralichthys olivaceus (Japanese flounder), 566 nucleotides long. RefSeq lists it as uncharacterized. NCBI's taxonomy places the organism in Eukaryota, Metazoa, Chordata, Actinopteri, Pleuronectiformes, Paralichthyidae. The record is from RefSeq and is a predicted model, not a curated record.
GGAAGAAAUCGUCAAAGAAGAAAUCUACCGUACACAGCCUCGAGGACCUGAGCUGGUCGAGUGGAGCUCAGACAAAAUGUCUCUAUACUUUCUCCUGUCUCGCUUUAAAAUCUGGAGCCAAAGGGAAAUCAUCACCCUGGAAAAGGUGUCAUGACUCCAUCUCCACAAACCCAGACCACGUGUCAGAGCAGCAGAAAGUCCCUGACUUGUCCCUGAUCAUACAGGAGGAGGAGCUCAGUGAAGUGAACAACAUGCUAAAGGUGCAUUUUGUUGCCAGCUGGUGCUUGUGAAGAUGAGCCUCAUCGAGCCCAGAGGAGAAACAUGCAGAGCAUGUGUCUAAAUGUAUAUUUGUGGUGAAGUGCAGUGAUACAAGCUCAGUCCUGCAGCUCGUCUCUGCACACUGCAGCUGCUGUGACCUCCAGCCUGUGAAGAACGGCCUGGCGAUGAUCCAUUGUUGAAAUGCAGAUCUUAUACGUGCGCUCCCUGCCCAUGGAUGAGUUCUAUCAGAGAUGUUGUGGAUGUGCAUGUACAAAUCUUUUAUAAUAAACUUGUAGCUGUAUUCAGAA